AUCCUGGCUUAGGAUGAACGCUGGCGGCGUGCCUAAUACAUGCAAGUCGAACGGUCUUUCUAUGGAAGCUUGCUUCCACUGAGAAGAUAGUGGCGAACGGGUGAGUAACACGUGGGUAACCUGCCCAUAAGAGGGGGAUAACAUCCGGAAACGGGUGCUAAUACCGCAUAGUUUUCUUGAUCGCAUGAUCGGGAAAGGAAAGACGGCCUUUGUGCUGUCGCUUAUGGAUGGACCCGCGGCGUAUUAGUUAGUUGGUGAGGUAACGGCUCACCAAGACGAUGAUACGUAGCCGACCUGAGAGGGUGAUCGGCCACAUUGGGACUGAGACACGGCCCAAACUCCUACGGGAGGCAGCAGUAGGGAAUCUUCCGCAAUGGACGAAAGUCUGACGGAGCAACGCCGCGUGAGUGAAAGAAGGUUUUCGGAUCGUAAAACUCUGUUGUCAGAGAAGAACAAGUUGGAGAGUAACUGCUCCAGCCUUGACGGUAUCUGACCAGAAAGCCACGGCUAACUACGUGCCAGCCGCCGC
RNAcentral lists this ribosomal RNA (529 nucleotides) under uncultured bacterium. Its description in RNAcentral is "bacterial SSU rRNA". It matches the Rfam family "Bacterial small subunit ribosomal RNA", at positions 16 to 518 of the family's 1533-position model. The record is from RNAcentral.